This is a non-coding RNA of Odocoileus virginianus texanus, 610 nucleotides long. The record is from the annotation of a RefSeq genome assembly. NCBI's taxonomy places the organism in Eukaryota, Metazoa, Chordata, Mammalia, Artiodactyla, Cervidae.
AUGAGCCCACCCAGGGGUGCCCUGGCCUCCGGAGGGCUGGCUCCACACCUCCCCUCGGCCCGAGGACACAGCCCCAGUGGCUGCAGCCCUGUGCCCAUCACGCCCAGCAGGUUCCCGCUUGGCGCAGCCCCCGGGGGGCAGGCCCCAGGUCAGCCCAAGUCCGCACCCUCGGUCACUCUGUUCCCGCCCUCCAAGGACGAGCUCAACGCCAACAAGGCCACCCUGGUGUGUCUCAUCAGCGACUUCUACCCGGGUAGCGUGACCGUGGCCUGGAAGGCAGACGGCACCCCCGUCACCCGGGGCGUGGAGACCACCCAGGCCUCCAAACAGGGCAAUAGCAAGUAUGCGGCCAGCAGCUACCUGACCCUGACGGGCAGCGACUGGAAAUCUAAAGGCAGUUACAGCUGCGAGGUCACGCACGAGGGGAGCACCGUGAAGAAGACAGUGAAGCCCUCAGAGUGCUCCUAGGGCCCCGGGCCCCUCUCGCCCUCACCCCCUCCCCAGCCCUCCAUGGACCCCUGGGCCCCCGCCCAGGUCGGCUCAGACCGGGGGGCUCUCCUCCCUCCCUCUUCCUGCUUCUCCUGAAUAAAGACCUUGUCAUUUAUCAGCC